RNAcentral lists this long non-coding RNA (1392 nucleotides) under Androctonus crassicauda. The record is from RNAcentral. Lineage: Eukaryota; Metazoa; Arthropoda; Arachnida; Scorpiones; Buthidae.
GUGGAAAUAAAAAAAUAAAAUAAAAUAAAAAAAACCAAGAGUAAAAAAUUUGUCGUCUUAAUGCCUGUAGUAAUUAUCAGGGAAUGAGAUGUCCAAGCGUAAUACUUGUUCCUUUUCCAGUCAUUGGAGAUAGACAGCUGUCUUCAUGUGGAAUAAAAGUUUGAAGUGCGGUAUGUUGGCAGGAAAGGCUAUUGUGUUGGCUGUCAUUAAACGAAAUCCCAGCCUAAUUGGAAAAUUCUCGGCACCGGUCAACAAAAGCAUCCAAGAAAAUGGUUUCUGUACUUGGACGUCGGGUUUUAACAGCAUUAGAGAAGCUCCGAUGGUCGGGUGGUAGUGGAACAAAGGAAAGAAUCAUAUUCCAUUUAAUUAUACGUGUUAGUGUGAAGUGGGCAAGAAAACUGGCGGCGGUAAUGGAUGGGCGCGGACACUUCACAUUGAUCUGGCCUCCUCACCUCCACAUUAAUCCUCCGCCUCCAUGGAAAAAUUCUUCCCCAUUUUAUCGCUUAGUUUUUCUCGGCUCGUCCACGUGACUGCUUUUGACACGAUCAUUGUAAUUAGUGGCUGCGCACCAUCUGACAAUGUGCGGUUGUAAUAAUGUAACAGCUUGUGUUUAUUCUUGCACCAGGGCUGCUCGCCUGUUAAUAUGGCCGUAGUCACUGGUCGGAUAUGUUCGAUUGAUGUAUCUGUCGGUGACUGUAUGCCUUUCAAUUAUAUAGAUCCUUACCAAAAAUACUGUCCGAUCGUAUUACUCCGGCAUCAAAAUCAAUUUAACAAACCGUUCGGAUUACCGAAUUGCUUUUCGUAAAUCGAGACCAAACUCCUACUUCCUCUUCUACUUCCAUUUUCACUUCUUACUUUUCAACUGAGUAACUAAGAACAUCCGAAGUUACAAGUAAUAAUAAUUGAUGGAGUGUUCUGUACUAAUUUGAUGAAACUGAUCUAAAUCACCUCGUUCGGUGGUCUAUUUGGUGCCCGUGAGACUAACAUUGUUUGUCAGUUCAGCCUCCUGCAGGGAGUUCCAGCUUUGGAGACGUGCCAGGGUCCAGUGUCCUCAAUGCUGCACGACAAUUACUCUUGUUAGACACAGCAUCGUAGUGACAAAUUAACGUUACAUGGCUGGCCGAUUACCUGUGUUCAUGUUGCUUUCUUUUAAUGUCAUCUUUCCUAAGAAAUAACAGUGCGUUGUGCUUAGGCAUAGACAUAAAUCUGACUUUUCUUUUUGUCCUCCCAUAAAUACUCAUAUAAUAGAGAAUAAUGGUUAUCUAUUAUGUCAAACGAAUAAUUUGUGAUAAAUCGAACGAUAUCUCGAAUUUUUUUUAUAUCUAACUAAAUACAAGUAUCUGUUUUCUUCCUCUUACUUUUUUUGGCAUUGUCGAUUUAGAUCCGUAAUAA